AAAAGAACACCUUUCUAGCAACUAUACCCUCUAUAAGGAACUCAGGAGCUUGAUGAUGGCCCAUUCUGGGGCACAUGAUCAAGAGGUACCAGGCUGUGUCAGCAGUCUUCACCUUUACAAGAAUAAGCAGCUUUUGCUAUGUUAUUCCUGGAAUUAAUACCAUAAAUUUCUGAAUGCAAGCUCUUCACUCACUACAGCCAUCACUUUCUACCAGUCACCAACAGUCACAAUUUCCACAACAAGGGACUUCAUAAAAUAAAAGGAAAAUAUCCCCAAGGUUCUACCAUGCCAAGA
Pelodiscus sinensis (Chinese soft-shelled turtle) is the source of this 294-nucleotide non-coding RNA. Lineage: Eukaryota; Metazoa; Chordata; Testudines; Trionychidae. The record is from RefSeq and is a predicted model, not a curated record.